UGUUAGCUCCAAACACUGUACUAUUGAAUAUUUGGUCAGAUUUGGAAAAAAGCAGCCAUCUCAAUUUAUACAGGUGUUUUGAUUAAGCUAACAAAA
This 96-nucleotide signal recognition particle RNA is filed under the name Buchnera aphidicola (Uroleucon sonchi). Its description in RNAcentral is "signal recognition particle sRNA small type". It matches the Rfam family "Bacterial small signal recognition particle RNA". Rfam says of the family: The signal recognition particle (SRP) is a universally conserved ribonucleoprotein involved in the co-translational targeting of proteins to membranes. RNAcentral also lists the same sequence under 1 other name. Lineage: Bacteria; Pseudomonadati; Pseudomonadota; Gammaproteobacteria; Enterobacterales; Erwiniaceae. The record is from RNAcentral.